GAUGAACGCUGGCGGCGUGCCUAAUACAUGCAAGUCGAGCGAACGGACGAGAAGCUUGCUUUUCUGAUGUUAGCGGCGGACGGGUGAGUAACACGUGGAUAACCUACCUAUAAGACUGGGAUAACUUCGGGAAACCGGAGCUAAUACCGGAUAAUAUUUUGAACCGCAUGGUUCAAAAGUGAAAGACGGUCUUGCUGUCACUUAUAGAUGGAUCCGCGCUGCAUUAGCUAGUUGGUACGGUAACGGCUUACCAAGGCAACGAUGCAUAGCCGACCUGAGAGGGUGAUCGGCCACACUGGAACUGAGACACGGUCCAGACUCCUACGGGAGGCAGCAGUAGGGAAUCUUCCGCAAUGGGCGAAAGCCUGACGGAGCAACGCCGCGUGAGUGAUGAAGGUCUUCGGAUCGUAAAACUCUGUUAUUAGGGAAGAACAUAUGUGUAAGUAACUGUGCACAGCUUGACGGUACCUAAUCAGAAAGCCACGGCUAACUACGUG
RNAcentral lists this ribosomal RNA (497 nucleotides) under uncultured bacterium. RNAcentral's name for it is "partial 16S ribosomal RNA". It matches the Rfam family "Bacterial small subunit ribosomal RNA", at positions 28 to 507 of the family's 1533-position model. The record is from RNAcentral.